Long non-coding RNA from Ooceraea biroi (clonal raider ant), 1921 nucleotides. RefSeq lists it as uncharacterized. The record is from RefSeq and is a predicted model, not a curated record. NCBI's taxonomy places the organism in Eukaryota, Metazoa, Arthropoda, Insecta, Hymenoptera, Formicidae.
UGGGGUUCUUCACGGUGAAUUGCAGUUGCUGCACGUAAGUCGGCACUCGAUCCAGAUUCUCCAGGAGUUCUUUCUUGUGCGGUCCACUUGGUACCUGCGCCCAUGUAACAUCGUAUACAAACUUAUGUCUUGGUUCGUCUCGCAAGGCAAAUUCAUUCACGCUUGAUUCUCAACGGUCCGAAAGUAGCAAGGUGAAUAAGUCAGUGGCCUAUAUAGGUAAUCGAUUGUUCAUUGAACGAAAUUAUAUCAAUGAGCUACAUAAUGUUACUAUUGUGGCAAUAUUACUUUAAUUUAUUAUUUAAGUAUUCGAUUCGAAAAGUGCAUAAGCAAAUAUUCUAAUCGGUUUUACUCGUUGUCGAUAUUACGUCCAAGAAUUCUUAUUUUUUUAUAUUAAUUUCUACAUUGCAUUUCGAGGAAUAAGCAACAUAAAUUUAUGAGAGCAAUUUAAAGCAUUUGUCAUAUAUUUGCACUUAUGUUGCUGCCGUUACAAAAAAACGAUGUAUAUAACAGGGACGAAUAAAUGAUCGUUGAAAAUUUCUGGAUACAUUUGCCUUGCGAAGUCAUAUUGUUCAUAUUUAGCGCAUUUCUUCGAGAUUCUGUAAAGCAAUGCCUGAUUCUAUUGUUUACUCUUUAUUGUAUAACUAGCAAGUAGUACUUCAAGUACUACGUAUCAUAAUACGAAAUUUGCAUCUAAAAAGUUAACAGAAAGAUCGUCUAUCUGUCCUAGUAGAACGCAAUGCAAGACUUUCAACUGUAACUGAACGUAAAAACUUGCUUGAGAUAGAUAUCAGAGUGACUGUGUGAAGUGACAGCGAAAUAGUACAGACCUUGUUGUUCUUGCCAGCUUCUCGCUCUGCGACAAUAGAUUCUGCUUUAUGGGGCACAUUUUAUUAAUGUCCGCAGCCGUUUUUGCUACCGCAAACUUUUUAGAUACCCAUGUUUAUUGCAUACUGCGUAAUGCGCUUUUUUAACGUGUAUGUGGGAUUAUGACGAGAUAUUUCUAGCAAAUGUAAUACGUAUCGUAUUUAUAACGUGCAUUACGGAACAAGUUAAUUAUGCAUGUAUCACAUUUUUCGACGAGCGUCGUUUAACGGAACGCGAUGCUGGAAGCUGGCAAAAACUUUGAGACAUAAUACUCAUGCCCCAGAUAAGUGGAAGGAGAGGGACCACAAUGCACAUAGACGUCGUCCAUAGACGGAAGCAUUCCCGUAGCAUCUAAAACACACCUUACUAAUCGUACACAAAAAAGUCGUAAAUGUAUGUACACAAAAUAGAUUUGCUAACGAAAUCAUGGACGUUCAUUAUGACAGUUCAGAUGACGUGAUGCGUGGAUCACAUUGGAUUGCCGGAACAGUCGACUCAAUCAUGUAUCGAGAAUCACGUUUCGUAAAAUGUACACUAAGGAGAAGAUUGCACGUUCGACUUUACUCCAUGAUGUUACUCGAUGUUAUUCGCAUUUGAACGUGAUUCUCGCGCGAAUACAUGAAAUUAUUAAUUAAAUCCGUUUGGGAUGAAUUAUAUAAUGACCCUUUUUUAAUCGAUAACUGUGGUCAACAUUUUAUUUCGUCUUCGAUCGUUGAAUCCGUGUCUCUUUAGGCUUUUAGACGUUUCUUGAGACAAAACUCGAUGUCAUUCGUAAUGAUCAGUUAGAGAGUCUACGUGCGUGAUGUUGCAUAGCAAGAUAUAGGUACGUAGACAGAGACGAUAUGUACAAAUAUGAUGGCAACACUCAGCAACGGUGGAACAGAGCUGCCGCAGAGAUAGAGAGAGAAAGAGAGAGAAAGAGAGAAACAUAUAUGUACGGCAAUGAGAAUGAUCUUGAUAAGGCGAAUAAGUGUGAUGUCUAUUAGUCCAAAAGGGUCUAAAGUAAAGAGAGAAAAAGUUACCUGGAUGGAGGCAUUCAAGAGCGAGGGUCAAAAAA